This 400-nucleotide ribosomal RNA is filed under the name phytoplankton environmental sample. Its description in RNAcentral is "partial small subunit ribosomal RNA". It matches the Rfam family "Eukaryotic small subunit ribosomal RNA", at positions 587 to 964 of the family's 1831-position model. The record is from RNAcentral.
AGCUCCAAAAGUGAAUAUAAUAGUUGUUGCAGUUGAAACGCUCGUAGUAGAAUUUGUUUUUUUGUUCUUUCCUUUUCUCUUUGAGGAUUGGGGGAGCGAUUCCUUUCGGGGCCGUGGUGCCGCGCGCGCUCGCUUGAUUGCCGAGGCGCCGGCGCCGCCAAAGCGGCCCCCUCGUGACUGUGAGAAAAUCUAAGUGCUCAAAGCAAGCGGCCUUCCGCGUCUGCAAGCUCUAGCUCAGGAUCACAAGAUACGGCGCUUCUUGAAAGGUGCAGUUUUUUGUUUGGUCUCACACCGGCGCAAUGAUGAACAGGAACGGGCGGGGCUAUUCGUACUCUGAGGGCUAGAGGUGAAAUUCUUUGAUUCCUCGAUGACGAACGAAUGCGAAGGCAUUUAGCAAGCA